CUCAGCGCCCGCUCGCCGCGGCUGUGGCGGCGCAGCGCCGCGCCGCCGCUUCCUCUCCGCCCGCGGGCUGUUAAUAACGGUUGCGGCGUGGGGUGGCCCCGCGGGGGGCUGCCGCGGGCUGGCCGGGCAGAGGAGCGAAGUUGAAGGCGGAGGGGUACCGCCACCCCCCCCGCCCCCAGCUCCGCAAAAUGACGGCCCGCAGGCCGCGCCGCGUGCUUUCGCUUACGGCCGCGGUGCAGCGCGCUUGUGUCCGCGCCCCGCGGGGCCCGAGGCCUUCGGUCCGUUAGAAACGUCUCUCCACAAGAAAAGGCGGGCAGGCCCUUUGUGUUCGCCGGUGCCCAGAAGUGGGAAACGGGAAUUAAGUGUCUCCGUAAGGCUGGAAAUCGCAGAGAGAUCAUCUGCACUCCAGUGCCAGCUCUUCUGCCCCAUCAACUCAUCCCUGUAACGUGCCUAGGGACUUACAUUACCUUAUUAACAGGAGCCUCUCCUGCUGCUGUUAUCUCCUAGGAAAAAGCAAGCCAGCAGUGUACUCAUCAUCCUCUUUGCCUGUACCACACUCAGUUGGCACCUGCAAACGGAUAUGAUUCAGUGAGAAUCUCCCACGAACCAGCCAUCACCUUGGCUGUCAUCAUGCCUGCAGCACCAUGGGCUGCUUCUGCGGAGCUCAGGGUUUGAGCUCCACUGCCCUUGUUUUGCUCAGUUCUCACCUUGUGUGGUAUUUUGAGUUGGCCAUUUUGUUGGCAAUGUCGAAGU
This is a long non-coding RNA of Dromaius novaehollandiae (emu), 753 nucleotides long. RefSeq lists it as uncharacterized. The transcript has 3 exons. Lineage: Eukaryota; Metazoa; Chordata; Aves; Casuariiformes; Dromaiidae. The record is from RefSeq and is a predicted model, not a curated record.